UACGUAGGGCGCAAGCGUUGUCCGGAAUUAUUGGGCGUAAAGAGCUCGUAGGCGGCUUGUCACGUCGGGUGUGAAAGCCCGGGGCUCAACCCCGGGUCUGCAUUCGAUACGGGCUAGCUAGAGUGUGGUAGGGGAGAUCGGAAUUCCUGGUGUAGCGGUGAAAUGCGCAGAUAUCAGGAGGAACACCGGUGGCGAAGGCGGAUCUCUGGGCCAUUACUGACGCUGAGGAGCGAAAGCGUGGGGAGCGAACAGG
RNAcentral lists this ribosomal RNA (253 nucleotides) under uncultured bacterium. Its description in RNAcentral is "partial 16S ribosomal RNA". It matches the Rfam family "Bacterial small subunit ribosomal RNA", at positions 524 to 776 of the family's 1533-position model. The record is from RNAcentral.